Molecule: long non-coding RNA, 596 nt
Organism: Panicum virgatum (switchgrass)
Lineage: Eukaryota; Viridiplantae; Streptophyta; Magnoliopsida; Poales; Poaceae
Exons: 3
Source: RefSeq, a predicted model, not a curated record
AGUUCAAAUGACAUUAACAGCGUUCAUCAGGGUAAUCCAGCGAAACUCGCAACUUCAAUUGUAUUUCAGCGAAACCCAUUUCCCAUAAAAGUAAAAUUCCUAUUUUCUCCAUGGAGAUCUACAACCUCGACGACGUCGUCACUCCCUCCCAGCUCCGCUCCACCAUCGCCGAGGAGAUCCGCAAGUACCAGAACAUCACCAACCCCAAGGUGUUUGUGGAAGACAAGAAACGACAUGGUGUUUAACGCAAAUCUGUUGAGUUUCCCAUGGUGACGGUGCACAAGAUGAUGACGUUCCUGAAUCACAGGAUGUCGCUUCAGAGAUGCUCGUUCGUACUCUAAACUGUACGUUGUGAAGCUGGCAACCCCAACAGGUUUCAGCCUUGUGUAAACUCUGUUAAGCUUUCUAAUGAAUCUGGGCAAUGUCUUUGGUCAAUGAAACCUUUUGCAAGGUGAAUGCAUUGUUCUACAUGUGCGCGGCAGUGCGCCUUAUUAGGUUCUUAUGCACACCUUACAUCCCAUGUUAUUUUACACUAUGUAUAAUUGCACUUCUACUUAUUUGCUAGAAGUAGUACAAAAUGGCAAAUUUGGAAGAUA